This is a long non-coding RNA of Oreochromis niloticus (Nile tilapia), 1090 nucleotides long. RefSeq lists it as uncharacterized. The record is from RefSeq and is a predicted model, not a curated record. NCBI's taxonomy places the organism in Eukaryota, Metazoa, Chordata, Actinopteri, Cichliformes, Cichlidae. The transcript is spliced from 2 exons.
UGAGGAAGUGCAGCCUUUGUUGUGCUUUCCCUACCUGGUGGGAGAUGUUUGUGGACCAGGUAAGGUCGGCCAAGAUGUGGACUCGGAGGAACUUGAAGCUCUCCACCCUUUCUACCUCCUCCAUCAAUGUAGAGGGUGGAGUGCUCAGAUGGCUUUGUUCUGCUGAAGUCGAUUAUCAUGUCCUUGGUCUUGGCUGUGUUCAGAUGCAGGUUGUUGUGGUCACACCAUUGCUUCAGAUGCUGAACCUCCUCUCUGUAGCUGAAUCAUCGUUGUUGUCCAUCAGUCCUAUGAUGGUGGUGUCAUCAGCAAAUUUUAUAAUGGUGUUACUGGUGUGGACUGGAGAACAGUCAUGGGUGAAAAGUGAGUAUAAGAGGGGACUGAGGACACACGUUCAGAGUGAGGGUGGAGGAGGUGUGGCUCCCAUCCUGACGUUCUGGGGUGUGUUGCUCAGGAAGUCCAGUAUCCAGCUGCACAGUGAGCUGCUGGGUCCUAAGUUGCUGAGUUUAUGAACCAGUUUGUGGGCUUGAACUGUGUUGAAGGUAAAGUCCACAAGCAGCAUUCUCACGUACGUGUUUCCUACUGUCCAGAUGUGUGAGGGUUGUGUGAAGAGCUGUAAUGAUGGCGUCCUCUGUCCACCUGUUUGCCUUCUACAGACUGUAGCAGUGAGAGGUUGAAGAUGGUGGUGAAACCUCUGCUAGUUGGUCUGCACAUGCUUUAAGCUCUCCACCGGCUGCACCGUCAGCACCAGCUGCUUUCCUCGCAUAGACUCAGUGUGGCUCUGACCUGAUGCUGCUCCAGCUGGAUGGGGGCGUCGUCCCUCUCUGUAACGCAGGAUAGGUGUUGGUGUCACUGUUUUGUUGGUCAAAGCGGGCGAAGAACUGCUUCAUGGUGUCAGGGACAGAGUUCAUGUUCAUGGACAUCAGGAUAAAAACAGAAGAUGGAAACCUGCCAGAUUUGAGCUGCUCAUGUGUCGUCCCUGGGCAGGUCACAUGACUCUAUCCAACACACAAAGACACACAGACACACAAGAAAAGCCAGAGAAACAAAGACAAAUCCAAACAAUCCAUCAUACUGAGUUAAAGUGAUCACA